This 253-nucleotide ribosomal RNA is filed under the name uncultured bacterium. RNAcentral describes it as "partial 16S ribosomal RNA". It matches the Rfam family "Bacterial small subunit ribosomal RNA", at positions 524 to 776 of the family's 1533-position model. The record is from RNAcentral.
UACGUAGGGGGCAAGCGUUGUCCGGAUUUAUUGGGCGUAAAGAGCUCGUAGGCGGUCCAUUAAGUCGGAAGUGAAAUCUCAGGGCUCAACCCUGAAAUUGCUUUCGAUACUGGCGGACUUGAGGCAAGUAGGGGAGAGCGGAAUUCCUGGUGUAGCGGUGAAAUGCGCAGAUAUCAGGAGGAACACCGGUGGCGAAGGCGGCUCUCUGGGCUUGUUCUGACGCUGAGGAGCGAAAGCGUGGGGAGCGAACAGG